AGUGCACGGCCAGGCCAAUCCGAGCCGUUAGAGGGGCGUGCCCGGUCCCGGGCCCUGCGCGCGCCAGUGGGCGUGUCCCCUGGGCCGGUGGGAGGAGGGGCGGAAACUGGAGCGGGGCGCGCUGACGCAUGACGUCCGGGGGCGGCGGGCCGGGUAGUCGCGGCGCGGAGCGGCUGCUUGUACCCCCCGCGGCGGGGACACAGCGAGCACUUCUCUGCCGGAGCUUUUAUGUGGUGACAGCCUUGGCCCCCGGCAUGGAGGGGAGCGGUUUCUGGAGGGCGCCAUUUGUUCCUCCCGCGAUGGGCGCCGGCGGGGAGGCGUGUCUGCCCGGCCGGGCGCGGGGCUGCCUAGGGGCGGAACGCACUCGCGCCGCGCCCUCCGCCGCCGGCUUGCCGGGUGGCCGCGCCUAGAGCCUCAGGCCGCUCGCCCUCCCCACGCCCCUGCCUUGCAGAGCUCCGGGAGUCCGGGCGGGGCAGCUCCCGCGGGAGGGACAGACUCGGGCUCGUUCCUGGGGUCCGGGGUGCGGCCGCGCUGCCCUUCAGCUCGGGUCAGCCCGAGCAGGACUGGCCUCGGCUGGCGGUGAGCCUGGCAGCCCGGGUGGCGCGCCCACCGCGGCCUGUGCCUCCAGAAGCGAACUACGUGCCAGGGCGGCCGGCGCCGCUGCUGAGGGAACGCGGGGCCCCUUCCUCCCCAUCCCGCCGCAGGCCCGCUGCCAACUCUUCUAGGCUGCCCCUCUCCCACCGCGGUCGGGGGGGCUUCAAACGCCACCAGCUGCGAGGACCCCGCCCACCGCGCCCCACCCGCCCGCUGUCUGGGCCUCCCGGAGGAAAUGCUCGGCUGCGCCCAGCCCGCGCCUCCCAGCCCGGGCUGGGCCACCUUGCCCUUGACUCUCACGGUAACCCCUACCCCAGCCCGCGGCCCCAGCCAUUCUCCAGGCCUGGGCCGUCCUCGGAGACGCCGGUGAAUAACUUCCCACCGCCGCGGAACCGGGCUCAGCAAACCCCCUACUGCCUCGCCCCGUUGCAUUGUGCUUAAUGGACGUUCGAAGGAGUCAGCCACCCUUGCUGUGUUCUGAGAGGAGCCUGGAGAAUGAAGGAGCCCGGGCACUCACCCUCAGUGGACCCUCGCAGUGGGAGGGGGGUGUCAUUCUUCUCUCAGAAUUAAGGUUAAUAGCCGAGUUCGAGUUCUCACCAAAUUAAUUUGGGGUUGGAGCUCAGUAAGACUGGUUUUCAGGUAACCGACGAGGGACCGAAACGGCCAUUCUGGGUUGCGUGUUACGGUGAACAGCAAACUGCAUGGAUGUUUGAGCACCCUCAGUAUCUGUAACUAAAACCCUGAAAUGCGGUCUCGCUGAUUGAGUUGCUACCCUCUGGGGAGACUAAAGGUGCUGGACUGGGUCUGGUCCCUUUAGGAGGGUCUGUGCUUGGUAGAAAGUAAUCGUGUUUCUUCCAGGCAGAUUGUGUUGAUGACAUUUAAUAAGAGACGUGUGUCCUGACCAAGUAAUGAUUCGGAAUGUUCCUCUAUUCCCACCACAUGUCACAAUUAGUCACUUCUUAAGGAAGGAGUGGUCCUACACCAGCUUAUCAGCCACCCAUACCCUCCUGGCCCCUUUCCAGCCAGCAGAAUUCUCCCCAAUCUUCAAGGUGCCACGUCUCCCCACUGGGUCACCCCAGCCGGCAUACACAAUGGUAGGCCGUCUAGAGUCUGCACUAUUCUAGUAUUAGGCUACUACAGCCAUGAACAAAACAGGCCUGCCUUGGGUGAGGGGAUGCCCUACGUGGUCAAGGGUCCUCUGCAUUGAUGCACCCCCCUAAGAGUUUUCCAAGAAUGUGGGUCCCAAAGAAUUUUGACUGUGCUCUGUGGCAUUCUGUAUAGAAAACUGAGCUCCUUGGCUGGUUUCUCAAAAAUCCACUCAUUUGAUGAUUGUCGUGGUGUUCACUGACUUUAUCCCAAACCUACAUGGAAGGGUCUUCCGGACAGACAGCUCUUCCCCAAAGAAAAUCUCCUCUUAGCUAAGAGUCCAUGUUUUCUUUUCUAAGUAAGAUUUUGACAGAGAUGGCAUAUGUAUAUGUGAGGGCUGGGUCGUCUCGUUUCAAAUGGAAGCAACAGAAAAGCAGAGCAGGUGUGUCUGGGGCGUAUAGAGACUGAAGGCUGAAAGGGUGGUUGAGUUUCUGGGUAAAGUUGGU
Molecule: long non-coding RNA, 2186 nt
Filed under: Homo sapiens (human)
Lineage: Eukaryota; Metazoa; Chordata; Mammalia; Primates; Hominidae
Description: long non-coding RNA NONHSAT235211
Source: RNAcentral